CUUCACAAGAACAACAUUAGCGAGCCAAUCGAGGUAUUGGACUUCCCUUAUGAACCCCGUUCUCACCAGUUUGCCGACCUCUUCCUGAAUGACCACACGUCUUUCCGGCGCAAACUGUCUCUUCCUUUGCUUAACAGGUUUGGCCCCUGGGCUUAUAUUGAAUCUAUGGACUGCUACUUCAGGGUCUAUCCCUGGCUUAUCCUCGAUCUUCCAUGCAAAAACAUCGAUGUUGCGGGACAGACAAUUGAUGACUUCCUCCCGAAGGCUGGCCUUGAGAUCCUUACCAAUAGUUAUCGUUUUUCCAUGCUCGUGCUCGACCACUUCCAAUUCCUCAACCGGGUCAAGUCUACCCCUUAGCUCGAGCUCGAGAUCUGAAAGUUGCAUGACGUCUCUACUCAUUCCUCAGAUGCUAG
Molecule: long non-coding RNA, 413 nt
Filed under: Olea europaea subsp. europaea
Lineage: Eukaryota; Viridiplantae; Streptophyta; Magnoliopsida; Lamiales; Oleaceae
Source: RNAcentral